Molecule: long non-coding RNA, 1077 nt
Filed under: Homo sapiens (human)
Lineage: Eukaryota; Metazoa; Chordata; Mammalia; Primates; Hominidae
Description: HSALNT0278899
Source: RNAcentral
CUUGGCCAGAGAUUUGAGAUCUGCAGUUUCAGAAUCUUCUAUGUCAUGUUCACAGCUGCGGUCGCACUUGUCAUACACCAGCUUGAGUCGAAUCGUUCGCCGAAAGAAGCCCUGUGAGGAUUCUACAUUCGAUGUUCAAUGCUCCACUGGGAGACUCGUCCACGCUGCCGGGGACCACAGGAUAAGUCACCGAGGAGGGGCUCGAAGCUGGUGAAAGCGUGUCUGGGGAAAAAGAGGAGAGACGGAUGAAUAGUCCAGGCAUCACUAUCCUGUGUCUGAACCGGGUCUAUGAGGAUGUGAUUUCGCAUACGAGGCUUCUAGUGCUGAGGCAUAAACCUCAGAACACCCAUGCGGGGCCGGGCCCUGCCUCUGGGUCACACCCUCUUGCACUCCUACAGCUGCCAUUGUGCUGUGCUCCCAAAGCCAGCAUGCUCGCUCUCACUGCUGCUGAGCUGACCCCGAGCUCCGGACCCACACACCUCAGAUCACACAUCCCUGGACCCGCACAUCUCCGCCCCGCAUAUCUCCGGGCCCGCGCGUCUCCCAUCCACACAUCCCGCCCCGCACAUCUCCUCAUUCCCACAUCUUCGAUCUGAGCAUCUCCGAUCCACACAUCUCCGCCCCGCGCAUCUCCGGACCUGCACAUCUCCCAUCCACACAUCUUCAGAUUUGCACAUCUUUGGACCCGCACAUCUCUGGACCCACGCAUCUCCGGACCCGCGCGUCUCCGGACCCGUGGAUCCCCGGACCUGGGCAUCUCCGAUCAGCUCAUCUUUGCUCUGCUCUGCACAUCUCCAGACCCGCACAUCUCCGGACCCCCACAUCUCUGGACCCCCGCAUCUCCUGACCCCCCAACAUCUCCUGAUCCACACAUCUCCGCUCUGCACAUUUCCGGACCCGCGCAUCUCCGAUUCGCCCAUCUCCUGAUCUGCGCAUCUCCGGACCCACGCAUCUCCUAGCCCUCCACAUCUCCGAUCCGCACAUCUCGGGCCCGCACAUCUCCGCUGCACACAUCUCCAGACCUGCACAUCUAUGGGCCCGCGCCUUGCCAUACCGCCCAUACCUCACCCUGCAGGA